This is a long non-coding RNA of Lepidothrix coronata (blue-crowned manakin), 1160 nucleotides long. RefSeq lists it as uncharacterized. The record is from RefSeq and is a predicted model, not a curated record. Lineage: Eukaryota; Metazoa; Chordata; Aves; Passeriformes; Pipridae. The transcript is spliced from 3 exons.
CCUUCCUUGGUUACAAACUGGUCACCAAGGAAGGCCUAGCCCAAACUACCACAACAUCCAAACUGGAUUUUUGUGUAAGAGUUCCUCGAGAGAACAUCAGGUAACAGAUACGAAUAGAAAUGGUAAUAGCCAACAGCCAUAGUUUCUGGAGCAUGUUCCUAAGAAGAUGUAUUUUAAAUACUCCCUGAGAAAAGGUGACACUGAUUUUUAGCUGUAAUGACCCAAAACCUCCUGCAAGAUCAUCAGCACCCAAGUGGACCUACAUCAGAGGUUUCAACAUAUCCCACAGCGGUCCAACGGCUCCAAGCAGAAUUGAUAUGCAGAUAUGUGUCAGCAGCAGCAGCAGAGCAUCUGUGUUUCAACCUCCCACUUGUAUUGAGCUGUUUCUCUCACCCUGUGCUCACUCCCCUAGGAGUGCAGGGGCAGGAUGCUCCUCAGUGCCCAGCAAAGAUGCAGCAUAUGUAUGUGAUAUCUUAGUUGCAGUAUUCUUCAUCACUAAGAAGUUUUUUUGGUGCCAAAAGUUUGAGAAGAUUGUGGGACUGACUGAAAUCAGGACUGAAGAAAUGUUUGAUCAGAAAAAGUGGUGAAGAUUUCAGAGCUUACAAAGCAAAUGCAGUGAUUUUCUUGGCCCUGCUCUCUAAACCUUUUUUCCCCCAGGAAAACCUUUGCAGCCUCAACCAACUCCAUAAGCAGGAGAUGGCUGCGCAUAUAAAAAAAUCCUAACAUGUGAGAACUUGGCAGAAUGUGGUCUCCACUGGGAUGCUGAAAACUGUACAGCUUUGCAAAGCAGAGCUGCACCAAAUUGGAGAAGAGCACUUGAGGCAUUUUUAUUUGUGUACAGCUAGCAAAAACUUUUAUUUUUAUUUAGUUUUAUAUCUAGGCCAAGCACAAGAGAAGCAAGCGUAUCUUAGUGCUGUAUUAGUGUGAUCAUUGUGCUAGAAAUUACCAUCUUCUGUGAUUCUGUAAUUUUUCUUUUACAAUACUACUUCUGUAAGUUGGCUGCCAAAAAAAGGUAAAAUUUUGCCAAAUCUUUUGCUCAAAAUUGUAUAAAAUCUAUGUUGCACAUUCAUACCAGCUUAGAUUAACACCACUGUGUACAGUGGGGACUCAAUGGUUUUUGUAUGUAAUGCCAUAUAUAUUAAACUUUUUUGAUAAAUCAG